GCCGGGCGCAGUGGCCCACACCUGUAAUUCCAGUGGCUCGGGAGGCUGAGGCAGGAUGAUCGCAAGUUUAAAGCCAGCUUCAACAAAAGUGAGGUUCUAAGCAACUCAGUGAGACCCUGUCUUUU
This 125-nucleotide small RNA is filed under the name Marmota monax (woodchuck). Lineage: Eukaryota; Metazoa; Chordata; Mammalia; Rodentia; Sciuridae. The record is from RNAcentral.